Ceratina calcarata is the source of this 568-nucleotide long non-coding RNA. RefSeq lists it as uncharacterized. The transcript has 2 exons. Lineage: Eukaryota; Metazoa; Arthropoda; Insecta; Hymenoptera; Apidae. The record is from RefSeq and is a predicted model, not a curated record.
ACAUCGGGAGCGAGCACGUUUUCCUUGCGCACGGAUAUACGCAUACACGGGCAGCCGAAUCCUAUCAAGGACAUUUCGCAGCGUGUCCUCCCUCCCUCUCACCCUCCCUGUUCCUCUUCUGCACACGCUCCCUGUUUCAAAGUUAGGUCGAGAGUAUCGCCGCGCAUGACCACGCGGGACCAAGAGAAAUAUAUUCGCGAAUCGAUAACUCGCAACAGCGGCGGGUUAGUCACGCGAACGAGUAGCCCGUUCGAUUAUCACUCCAGCAAUUCGCGGUAACGUGUAAAUUAUGCUUCCUUCCCCUUUUCUAUUUGUCUAUUCUUCGAUCGAAGAUCGUUCCGAUACGAUUCGCGUGACGGGACGUUUCGCAUGUCGCUAAUGAAUUAGAAAAACAUUUGUUCAAUCUUCUGUCUCGCUCCGUAUCCUUCAUUAGUGUUACAUUCGAUAUUUGAAUUUAUUGUCACUGUCCACUGUACCAAACAUUGAAAUGGAACUGUACUUCACAUACCGACGUAUCGACAAAUUAAUCGAACGUGCUCGAUUUUGUGAUCGAACAGCAGCGAAGAGG